AGAGUUUGAUCCUGGCUCAGAUUGAACGCUGGCGGCAUGCCUUACACUUGCAAGUCGAACGGCAGCACGGGGCAACCUGGUGGCGAGUGGCGAACGGGUGAGUAAUGUAUCGGAACGUACCAUUCAGUGGGGGAUAACGUAGCGAAAGUUACGCUAAUACCGCAUAUUCUGUGAGCAGGAAAGCAGGGGAUCGCAAGACCUUGCGCUGAUUGAGCGGCCGAUAUCAGAUUAGCUAGUUGGUGAGGUAAAAGCUCACCAAGGCGACGAUCUGUAGCGGGUCUGAGAGGAUGAUCCGCCACACUGGAACUGAGACACGGUCCAGACUCCUACGGGAGGCAGCAGUGGGGAAUUUUGGACAAUGGGGGCAACCCUGAUCCAGCCAUGCCGCGUGAGUGAAGAAGGCCUUCGGGUUGUAAAGCUCUUUCGGCCGGGAAGAAAUCGCAUGGGUUAAUACCCUGUGUGGAUGACGGUACCGGAAUAAGAAGCACCGGCUAACUACGUGCCAGCAGCCGCGGUAAUACGUAGGGUGCGAGCGUUAAUCGGAAUUACUGGGCGUAAAGCGUGCGCAGGCGGUUUUGUAAGACAGGCGUGAAAUCCCCGGGCUCAACCUGGGAACUGCGCUUGUGACUGCAAGGCUAGAGUACGGCAGAGGGGGGUGGAAUUCCACGUGUAGCAGUGAAAUGCGUAGAGAUGUGGAGGAACACCAAUGGCGAAGGCAGCCCCCUGGGUCGAUACUGACGCUCAUGCACGAAAGCGUGGGUAGCAAACAGGAUUAGAUACCCUGGUAGUCCACGCCCUAAACGAUGUCAACUAGGUGUUGGGUGGGUAAAACCAUUUAGUACCGGAGCUAACGCGUGAAGUUGACCGCCUGGGGAGUACGGCCGCAAGGUUAAAACUCAAAGGAAUUGACGGGGACCCGCACAG
Molecule: ribosomal RNA, 924 nt
Filed under: uncultured Dechloromonas sp.
Lineage: Bacteria; Pseudomonadati; Pseudomonadota; Betaproteobacteria; Rhodocyclales; Azonexaceae
Description: bacterial SSU rRNA
Rfam family: Bacterial small subunit ribosomal RNA
Source: RNAcentral